Long non-coding RNA from Patella vulgata (common limpet), 445 nucleotides. RefSeq lists it as uncharacterized. The transcript has 3 exons. Lineage: Eukaryota; Metazoa; Mollusca; Gastropoda; Patellidae. The record is from RefSeq and is a predicted model, not a curated record.
CCAGAUCAGACCCGAUAAAUGACAAGACCUUGACAAUAUGUUCAAGACGCGUUGAGCCGGAUUAUUUCGUUGAAAAAAUGUUUACAAAAAUUCUGGGUCCACAUAUCGAAGAUUAAAAGAAGGGUUAGGGAGACUAUCAACCUUAAUUCUUCUACAGAAAAGCGUAACAACAAAGAAAUUGAAUCCAAGGAAGUCACCGAGUCCAAGGAAAACCGAGGAAACUCAAUGUUUACAUAUGAACGAAGUAACCUUUCAGAUGUUGCAGAAAUCAUUUUUAUGUCAAAUGCCUGCUUUGUGGCUAUGUCAGUCUUCAAGUGAUUAUAUCUAUCUGUUUAAAACUGAAGAUAAAAGUGUAACAUACCAUUUAACCAUUGACAAGGACUUGAAUUGUGAAGUACAAUAUAAUAAUUUUUGUUUCCUGUUCAAAUUAAAGUUACAUCUAUAG